This 1410-nucleotide ribosomal RNA is filed under the name metagenome. RNAcentral describes it as "bacterial SSU rRNA". It matches the Rfam family "Bacterial small subunit ribosomal RNA". The record is from RNAcentral.
AGAGUUUGAUCGUGGCUCAGGGUGAACGCUGGCGAUGUGCCUAAGACAUGCAAGUCUAACGGUCCUGCUUGCAGGACAGUGGCGAACGGGUGAGUAAUGGGUACGAACGUACCUCCAAGUGGGGCAUAGCCCGCCGAAAGGCGGAGUAAUUCCCCAUAAUGCCUUCGGGCUAAAGAUUUAUCGCUUGGAGAGCGGCGUACUUGCUACCAGCUAGUUGGUGGGGUAAAGGCCCACCAAGGCUAUGACGGCUACCGGCUCUUAGCGGAGAGUCCGGCACAAUGGGACUGAGACACGGCCCAUACACCUACGGGUGGCAGCAGUUAGGAAUCUUGCGCAAUGGACGAAAGUCUGACGCAGCAACAUCGCGUGUAGGAUGACGGCCUUCGGGUUGUAAACUACUUUUAUUUAACAAUAUUGUUAGAGGAAUAAGCACCUACUAACUACGUGCCAGCAGUCGCGGUAAUACGUAGGGUGCGAGCGUUACCCGGUUUUAUUGGGCGUAAAGGGUCUGUAGGCGGUCUUUUAAGUCUUGUUUCAAAGCCUCCGGCUCAACCGGAGAAAGGGGCAGGAUACUAGAAGACUAGAGUGAUAUCGGGGUUACUGGAAUUUGUAGUGUAGGGGUUAAAUCCGUGGAUACUACAAAGAACACCAAUCGCGAAGGCGGGUAACUAGGUAUAUACUGACGCUAAAAGACGAAAGCUAGGGUAGCAAAUCAGAUUAGAGACCUGAGUAGUCCUAGCUGUAAACGAUGUCUGUUAAUUUUUCUCGAGCAAUCGGGAGAGAUGUAAGCUAACGCGUUAAACAGACCGCCUGGGGAGUAUAGCCGCAAGGCCGAAACUCAAACGAAUUGGCGGGGAGGCGCACAACCAGUGGAGCAUGUGGUUCAAUUCGACACGAAGCGAUGAACCUUACCUGGGUUUGACAUAUAUUUGCACGGCCCCCGAAAAGGGGUCUUCCUUCGAGGGUAAUAUACAGCUGUUGCAUGGCUGUCGUCAGCUCGUGACGUGAGUUGUUCUCUUAAUGAGGUAACGAGCGCAACCCCUAUCGUAUGUUACUGUGUCAUACGAAACUGCCUAGCAUUAUUUUUGUUGGGAGGAAGGAGGGGACGACGUCAAGUCAGCAUGAUGCUUAUGUCCAGGGCUACACACAUCCUACAAUGGGGUAUACAACGGGUCGCAAUGCCGCGAGGCGGAGCCAAUCCUUAAAAUACCUCUCAGUUGGGACUGCAGGCUGAAAUUCGCCUGCACGAACUUGGAAUUGGUAGUAAUCGCAGAUCAGCAGGCUGCGGUGAAUACGUUCUCGCCUCUUGCACACACUGCCCGUCAAAUCAGCAAAGUUGAGGGCACCCAAAACUUAGCAUUUGCUAAGCUAAGGUGAAUUCAGCGAUGAGGGUUAAGUCGUAACAAGGUA